Molecule: non-coding RNA, 108 nt
Organism: Acanthosepion pharaonis
Lineage: Eukaryota; Metazoa; Mollusca; Cephalopoda; Sepiida; Sepiidae
Source: the annotation of a GenBank genome assembly
UACAGCCACAUCACGUUGAAACACCGGUACCCGUAGAUCAGCGAAGUUAAGCAAUAUCGAGCCUGGUCAAUAGCUAGAUGGGUGACCACUUAGGAAUACUGGGGUCUG